UAUAGAUAUAAGUUCGACUUCCAAAUGCUCGUCACUGUCCCAGUCCUAGUUACAUAUCAUAUUUAAGCUUGUGGUUGUCAAUAAUGACAGAAGGGUGUCAUCUAUUUGGCACUAGCCUGUCAAGCACUAGGGCAUUUACCAUUCUUACACUUUAUUUUAUUUUAAAUAGGUUCUUUAGUGGCAUUUAUUUGAGUAAUGUGUCAAUAACUCAUUUAUCUUCCAGAGAUAGAAAUGUUUCUCAGCAACAUUAUGGUAUAUAACGUUAUGGUAUUAACCUCCUUGUUCAUAAAACUUAGCAAACCUUAGUUACAUGUUGUCCCUUUCUAAUAAACACAAAUAUCGCAGGACAAACGAUCAUCAAGGGCUUGUUAGACUUGACAGGCGUUUGAAUAACGAUACAAGUAUGACCUUACCUACCUAUUGAGGAAUCAGUAGGUACCAGCAACAACACAAACCUUAUUGCACUUAUUUUGAUACUAGUUUUUUUAAAUUAUCUAUGUCAAACCCUAAAAUAUCUUCACGCCAGCAAACUUAUAUCCGACCAUAUUCAAUCUAUUAAUCAAAUUGUUGUUACAGACCGUUACGUCGAUAUCGCCUCACACACAGACGCGAAUAAAAAACAAGAAAUUCGAUACACAAAUGUCUGUGCGGUAAUAUUUAUAGAUUUUGAUUAAUGACUGACUGAGGGGACGCAUCUGAUGGAUGGGGCAUGGUGUUAUUAGAUAAUGGUGUUUCAAUAGAAUUAGGAGCUUUGUUCUUCCUGCCCUUACACCGUGGGUCAAGAACGAGUUGAGUAUUUGGAGAUCCAGUUUAGGAUUUCGAAACCGUCUUCGGUAUUUUGGACAUUUGAACAAGAACUUCGUUAUAAUAUCGUUAGGUACUGUUAAGAAAAAACUCUGAUACCUAUCUACUUACUAGAAUGUAUUAUCAUAAAGUUUAGUUAACCGAUACUUUGGUACAUAUCAUCACAUCAUAUCAGCACAUAUCUGACAUGGGAGGGUAUUUUAUUUUGUUAUUAUCAUAAAGUAAAAGAGAAUAGUCAACAAAUAAAACAUUGCGUGACUUAACAUACCUGCAAACCGCACUUAUUUCCGUUAUUGAUUUUGGCGCACAAAUAUCCUGUGAAAAAAAAAGGAAUACUUAUAUAAGUAAAAUUUAUAGAAUUGUGGCAAAACACUUUACAUACCUAACUAAAUUUGAUAAGAUAAGGUACAAUGCCGUUAACAUAAUAUUAAAAUCUGGUUAUAUCGAGACCUAUUAAUUUGGAAGCUAUUUGUCCCAUAUCAAAGUUAUUAAUAAAAUCCAGAACAUCUGUUAUUACUGUAGUGGCCAGUUAAUGAGUUUUAGUUAGGGAUCUGUUCCACCGCACGAUACGAGGCGAUAAACUGAUUGUACAUAUCCGCGAAACUAUAAAUAAAUAAAUCUUAUACGGCAAUUUUAAAUCGACCAAGUUCCACAGUAUGCUCAAUAAGACUUGUGUUAUGGAUACUAGACGACGAUAUAUUAUAAAUACCUAAUUAUGUAAACGCACUUACCAGGAUUCGAACUCGGGGGACCUGUUUCUUCGUAGGCAGGGUCAUCACCGACUAGGCUAGGAGGCGGGUGUAUAUAGUCUGCAAAUAAUAUAAAAUAUCUGUUUAAAAAUUUCUCUUUUAAAUAUAUAUUGUUUUUUAAAAUUUUAACGUUUUAAAAAAAAUACCACUCACAUUCAUUUUGUAUUUUUUCAUAAAUUUUGUUUUUUUUUCUACCUGAUCAUAAUCACUAGCUCUUUCGAUCUUAAUGGAAUAAAAUAAUGUCCCAGCGUUUUUUUCUAUUGUGUUACCAUUUUCCCAUAUAUUUUGUAUGGCUGUAACAAAAAGGAAAGUAUGAAAAAUGUAUGGAAAUUUUGGGACACUUUUUUUCUCCUAUAACGAUGAAAAGGGCUCGCGAUCUAGACCAAAAAUAACACAAAACUGGCAAAUUAGGUCAUAUAGAAAAAAGUGGCAAAAAAACAAACGCUUAUUUAAUUUAAAUUUCGCAUCGGACCUAUCGUUUGCAAAAGUGUAGCAUAGAUAUUUUUCUAACCAUAAGGAAGGAAUUAUUUUAAAAAAUACCGUUAAGAAAUUUUGUAACAGUCACUCCUUUGAGUGCGAACUGUUACAACAUCAAUUGUUGAACCAUGCAAAAUUGUAGCAGGUACGGCCUUUCUUCCUUUCACUCUAACUCAAUAGAAAGUGUUUACAGAUUUACAACCAACUCGAGGGCACACUGGCCGCAAACACCAAAACAACAGACUAUUAGGACGGGACAUUUAUUAUAAAAGUAAAGGUGUAUAAUUCGCAAAACGGACAGAGAAAGUGACCACCGGACUUGAAUAGAACUUUGCGCAUUUCGAUCUUUGAGAAACAAUGGACAUUCGUUACAAUUGUAACAAUUGACCACCUGCCGAUAUUUGAAUAUUGCAAAAAGUAUUUGGUUUCGUUUUCAUCUCAGUGAGUGCAGUACAGUCUCAGUGUGUAGAUGAAAUUGCAAGUGCCAGUGAGAAAUAUGUGAAUAAUAAUGGGUGUAAUUAAAAGUAUCGUGAGAUGUAAUCUAUCGUUAAUAACUUAAUAAUUACACGCAUACUCCGAAGACAGCACUCGACACUAAACCGCACCUGCAAAAGAAACACACCUUGAAGUAACUGAACCCGAACACCAUGUACAGUAAAAGGGAUGGGUACUCAAAUAAAACCUAUAGGCAGAAAGCAUUAAGGCGUUCGGGGUACUUACGUCAGGCAGUAUGUUUUGCAAAUUGGACGUGGAAAAAAGAAGAAUCGACAAAAGAUUCCUUGGUGGGGGGGCUUAGUUAAUAUGACAAAAGUACAUAUUUAUUAUUUUCAUUGCUUUUUACGUUUGUCGAUGUACAGUGUUUCGAAUGUAUUAGAUAGUAAUUAAAGAAUAUUUGUACGCCAUUUAUUUAUAUAGAAAACUAAGGAUUGGAAACAAUAUUAUGUGAUAUCAAUCUAUAACCUUUUUUACACAAAUAAACUACCUAUUCAUUCAUUUAUUAAUUCAUUGGCCUUUUCUAUCAAUGCUUGUCAUCUUGACUAGGCCCCCAGUUCAAUAAUAAAUUAUAUAUUGCCCA
Molecule: long non-coding RNA, 3105 nt
Organism: Cydia pomonella (codling moth)
Lineage: Eukaryota; Metazoa; Arthropoda; Insecta; Lepidoptera; Tortricidae
Exons: 3
Source: RefSeq, a predicted model, not a curated record